Molecule: ribosomal RNA, 638 nt
Filed under: uncultured bacterium
Lineage: Bacteria
Description: bacterial SSU rRNA
Rfam family: Bacterial small subunit ribosomal RNA
Source: RNAcentral
GUGGCGAACGGGUGAGUAACGCGUGAGUAACCUGCCCUAGAGUGGGGGACAACAGUUGGAAACGACUGCUAAUACCGCAUAAGCCCACGGUACCGCAUGGCACUGAGGGAAAAGGAUUUAUUCGCUUUAGGAUGGACUCGCGUCCAAUUAGCUAGUUGGUGAGGUAACGGCCCACCAAGGCGACGAUUGGUAGCCGGACUGAGAGGUUGAACGGCCACAUUGGGACUGAGACACGGCCCAGACUCCUACGGGAGGCAGCAGUGGGGGAUAUUGCACAAUGGGGGAAACCCUGAUGCAGCGACGCCGCGUGGAGGAAGAAGGUUUUCGGAUUGUAAACUCCUGUCGUUAGGGACGAUAAUGACGGUACCUAACAAGAAAGCACCGGCUAACUACGUGCCAGCAGCCGCGGUAAAACGUAGGGUGCAAGCGUUGUCCGGAAUUACUGGGUGUAAAGGGAGCGCAGGCGGGAAGACAAGUUGGAAGUGAAAACCAUGGGCUCAACCCAUGAAUUGCUUUCAAAACUGUUUUUCUUGAGUAGUGCAGAGGUAGAUGGAAUUCCCGGUGUAGCGGUGGAAUGCGUAGAUAUCGGGAGGAACACCAGUGGCGAAGGCGGUCUACUGGGCACCAACUGACGCUGA